CCUACGGGGGGCAGCAGUAGGGAAUCUUCGGCAAUGGGCGAAAGCCUGACCGAGCAACGCCGCGUGAAUGAAGAAGGCCUUCGGGUUGUAAAAUUCUGUUAUAAGGGAAGAAAGGUGAUAGGAGGAAAUGACUAUCAAUUGACGGUACCUUAUGAGAAAGCCACGGCUAACUACGUGCCAGCAGCCGCGGUAAUACGUAGGAUGCGAGCGUUAUCCGGAUUUAUUGGGUUUAAAGGGUGCGUAGGCGGACUGUUAAGUCAGCGGUAAAAGCCCGGGGCUCAACCCCGGCGAGCCGUUGAAACUGG
RNAcentral lists this ribosomal RNA (305 nucleotides) under uncultured bacterium. RNAcentral's name for it is "bacterial SSU rRNA". It matches the Rfam family "Bacterial small subunit ribosomal RNA", at positions 338 to 636 of the family's 1533-position model. The record is from RNAcentral.